UCUGCCCUCUCUCUCUAUCUCUCCAAACAAAGGAUAGAAGGGCAGAGGCCUUUGGUGUCCCUUCCAGUCAAGAAUUGGG
Molecule: transfer RNA, 79 nt
Filed under: Aphyllon epigalium subsp. notocalifornicum
Lineage: Eukaryota; Viridiplantae; Streptophyta; Magnoliopsida; Lamiales; Orobanchaceae
Description: tRNA-Arg
Source: RNAcentral